CCUACGGGUGGCAGCAGUGGGGAAUAUUGGGCAAUGGGCGCAAGCCUGACCCAGCAACGCCGCGUGAAGGAAGAAGGCUUUCGGGUUGUAAACUUCUGUUCUGGGGGACGAACAAAUGACGGUACCCCAGGAAUAAGCCACGGCUAACUACGUGCCAGCAGCCGCGGUAAUACGUAGGUGGCAAGCGUUAUCCGGAAUUAUUGGGUGGAAAGGGCGGGUAGGCGGGAAUGCAAGUCAGAUGUGAAAACUAUGGGCUCAACCCAUAGCCUGCAUUUGAAACUGUAUAUCUUGAGUGUUGGAGAGGCAAUCGGAAUUCCGUGUGUAGCGGUGAAAUGCGUAGAUAUACGGAGGAACACCAGUGGCGAAGGCGGAUUGCUGGACAGUAACUGACGCUGAGGCGCGAAAGCGUGGGGAGCAAACAGGAUUAGAUACCCGUGUAGUC
Molecule: ribosomal RNA, 442 nt
Filed under: uncultured bacterium
Lineage: Bacteria
Description: partial 16S ribosomal RNA
Rfam family: Bacterial small subunit ribosomal RNA
Source: RNAcentral